AUGGCUCAGGAUGAACGCUAGCUACAGGCUUAACACAUGCAAGUCGAGGGGCAGCAUGAUCGAAGCUUGCUUGAUGAUGGCGACCGGCGCACGGGUGAGUAACGCGUAUCCAACCUUCCCUAUAGUAGAGAAUAGCCCGGCGAAAGUCGGAUUAAUGCUCUAUGUUGUAUUUAGAAGACAUCUGAAGAAUACCAAAGGUUUACCGCUAUAGGAUGGGGAUGCGUCUGAUUAGGUAGUAGGCGGGGUAACGGCCCACCUAGCCGACGAUCAGUAGGGGUUCUGAGAGGAAGGUCCCCCACAUUGGAACUGAGACACGGUCCAAACUCCUACGGGAGGCAGCAGUGAGGAAUAUUGGUCAAUGGACGGAAGUCUGAACCAGCCAAGUAGCGUGCAGGAUGACGGCCCUAUGGGUUGUAAACUGCUUUUAUGCGGGGAUAAAGUUCACUACGUGUAGUGUUUUGUAGGUACCGCAUGAAUAAGGACCGGCUAAUUCCGUGCCAGCCGCCGC
Molecule: ribosomal RNA, 508 nt
Filed under: uncultured bacterium
Lineage: Bacteria
Description: bacterial SSU rRNA
Rfam family: Bacterial small subunit ribosomal RNA
Source: RNAcentral